Molecule: ribosomal RNA, 301 nt
Filed under: uncultured bacterium
Lineage: Bacteria
Description: partial 16S ribosomal RNA
Rfam family: Bacterial small subunit ribosomal RNA
Source: RNAcentral
CAGUCGCCACGGGAACACGAAGGGUGCAAGCGUUACUCGGAAUUACUGGGCGUAAAGCGUGCGUAGGUGGUGGUUUAAGUCCGUUGUGAAAGCCCUGGGCUCAACCUGGGAAUUGCAGUGGAUACUGGAUCACUAGAGUGUGGUAGAGGAUAGUGGAAUUUCCGGUGUAGCAGUGAAAUGCGUAGAGAUCGGAAGGAACAUCUGUGGCGAAGGCGACUAUCUGGGCCAACACUGACACUGAGGCACGAAAGCGUGGGGAGCAAACAGGAUUAGAGACCCCGGUAGUCCCUGUCUCUUAUAC